UACGAAGGCCCCAAGCGUUAUCCGGAAUUACUGGGCGUAAAGCGUCCGCAGGCUGUUUGAUAAGUAUGCUGUCAAAUCUCAGGGCUUAACCCUGAGGCUGCAGCGUAAACUGUCAAACUAGAGGGUGGGAGAGGCAACUGGAAUUGUCGGUGUAGUAGUAAAAUGCAAUGAUAUCGACAGGAACACCAAAUGCGAAGGCAUGUUGCUGGAACACUCCUGACGCUCAGGGACGAAAGCGUGGGUAGCGAACGGG
This 253-nucleotide unclassified non-coding RNA is filed under the name uncultured bacterium. Its description in RNAcentral is "contains 16S-23S intergenic spacer region". It matches the Rfam family "Bacterial small subunit ribosomal RNA", at positions 524 to 776 of the family's 1533-position model. The record is from RNAcentral.